RNAcentral lists this long non-coding RNA (685 nucleotides) under Sus scrofa (pig). RNAcentral describes it as "lncRNA (ENSSSCG00055020796.1)". Lineage: Eukaryota; Metazoa; Chordata; Mammalia; Artiodactyla; Suidae. The record is from RNAcentral.
GGCGGCUGCGGGCCCCGCCGUGCCCCGCCCGGAAGCUGCCUUUCCGCUGGCGCUGCCCGCCUUCGACCCGGUGUUGCCGCUGCGGCGGUGAUGGAGCGUAGACCCCUGAGGUCCGCUCUGCGCUGCUGGCGGAGACGAGGCCGCGGGGACCGCAGCGCCGGGCGACCACACCCUCGGUUUGGGGGACAAGCCUGCCUUUUGCGCACUUGGACUUUUCCCCACCCUCUUCUAAGUCUUAGUGCCUCCGUACCAGAUAAAGAUUUGCCUGAGAUUCCCAAGCAUCUCAAUGCCGGUACCCACAGUUCCUACUCACAUUUGUCCAACGAAUGUGAAGAAAACAGCAACCAAAUGACAGCCACAGAAUUGCAUCAAAAUACAAAAGCCAGGUGGAGGACAUGGGAGUUGGGGGCACCAGGGGGUCCUUCUUUGUUUCAAGAGGUUUCAUCUUCAAUCCUGCUCGGUCUCCUGUAGCCUCUCACCCGACUCGCCAGUCACCUGCUCACAUCUCCCUGCUUUAUUUCCUUCUCACAGUUUAAGAUUAUAAUUACUACUCACUAAAUUAGAUGUAAGUUCUUUAAAAUGAGGGGUCUUGCCUAGUGCUUGGCAGGGUUUACCAUAUGGCAGGCAUAGGGCAAAUAUUUGUUGAAUUAAUAAACUAGUUCCUUAAUAAACCUCCGUGUUGAUA